This is a long non-coding RNA of Bos taurus (domestic cattle), 1366 nucleotides long. The record is from Ensembl. NCBI's taxonomy places the organism in Eukaryota, Metazoa, Chordata, Mammalia, Artiodactyla, Bovidae.
UGGGGUCUCUGAGAGUCAAAUACAACUUAGCAACUAAAACAAGAAGACAAACAUAAAGGUCUUGUCUUAGCAUCCAAAGAUCCCUUCCUACAUUGAUUUACUCUGCAGCAAAGGUUCCCAGGGAAACAUGGCAAGAUGUGAUGGAGAGCAGAGCAAGACUCAUCACAACAAAAUACUUGGGAGCAUUUUCUCAUUUCGUCCACUCUUGUGACCAAGGUUUGGCUCAGAGUUUGGACCAUGUGGAUGCAGACACGCCACACUCAUAUCCCUUCCGCAUUCUGAUGGGUAGGUCAUGCCUGAAUGAUAGAAACUACAACAGAGAUGAAAUAUAACCCUUUGAGAGCAUCCAGCACAAGUAGAUUGUGUGUAAUUAUUUAAUCAUUCAUUGGCUGGAGGCAAAUCAGAGAAGACUUCCAGGAAGAGGACUAGAACUUUCAAGGUGGAGCUGUAGGAGCUGGGAGAAAAGGCGUUCCAGAGCCAGCAGAGCAGAGAUGCAGAGGAAGGGAGCUGCCUGGAGUGUCCUGGGAACCGGAACUACUCUUGGCUGGCCGAGGACGUAAGCAGGAAGGGCUCCUGGAAAGCAUGUUCAUCUCAGUUCCCUGACCAGGGAUUGAACCUGCAUUGGAAGCAUGAAGUCUCUGAAACACUGAACAGGCAGGGAAGUCCGGUUUUCACGUUUAAUAUUACAUUAGCUUCUCAAAAGGCCGUCCCCACAAUGAACUGUAGAACUCAUGAAGAAUCUUUUAAUGCCACUCUGAACUUGGAAAGCAACCGUGGUGGCAGAUAUCAACUUCUGAAAGUACACAAUACGAGACUUGAGCUGUAUUUGAGUCAAAACCAAAUCUGAACCUGGUAGAACUGUGCCGGACACAAACUUUGAAAUGAAAUACUCAGCACUGCAGCUAAGGUGCUAAUAUAUAGAUCAAGGCCGGCUCUUUUCUCAGCUUGAGAUCUGGAGGAGCUAGCCCUGGGUUUAUAGGAUCCUUUCCUGCUCUUUCCCUGGUGCCUCAGACAGUAAAGAACCUGUCUGCAAUGCAGGAGACCUGGGUUCGAUCCCUGGGUUGGGAAGAUCCCCUGGCGAAGGAAGUGGCUACCUACUCCAGUAUUCUUGCCUGGAAAAUUCCAUGGACAGAGCCUGGUGGGCUACAGUCCAUGGGUUGCAGAGUCUGGACAUGGCUGAGCAACUUUCACUUCACUUUCUGCUCUUUCAGAGUCUUGGCCCCAAGGGAGUCCUCUCUUCUCACCUAAUGUCACACACAUGUAGGGGGCCUGGAUGGGGUCCUGGUACAGACACUACAGACUGUAGCUGCCUAUAAAGACUGAGAUGACUCCUUUAUCUGUGAGCCUUCGCUGGCUGCCUUAGGAC